Chelonia mydas (Green sea turtle) is the source of this 972-nucleotide long non-coding RNA. RefSeq lists it as uncharacterized. The transcript is spliced from 3 exons. NCBI's taxonomy places the organism in Eukaryota, Metazoa, Chordata, Testudines, Cheloniidae. The record is from RefSeq and is a predicted model, not a curated record.
CACGAGCAGAAAAUUAUUGUGUCAUUGUGACCGAGUUUGAAUAAAGGACAAACGGGAGAAAGUUGUUAAUGGCUCCCAAACAAUGUGCAACAGAAAAGGACGCUAGGUUUCUGGAAUAAGUCCUUGGUUAUGAGUUAUUUCCUCAGCUCUAUCCUCUGUCUUCUCUGUGACAUAUGAGCAUGGGAGCUUUGUAUUCACUGUGCACAUGUUACUAGGACACUUGAAUCCUGCAUCAGAUCAGUAGACAAAGGAAUGUCGUUCUGUUGACCAAAGGCAAUAAAACCACAUUUGCAUGCCAGGCUAACAAAGCCAUCAGAAGAGCAAGUGGGAGAAAAGUGAUCACUUAAUCUCAAUGAGGAAUGGAGACUGCACCCCCAGGAAGUCUUCCUCACUCUUGAAGCAGAGUUAAUGAACUUUGUAGUCCAGUAAAUCUUUGAAAAGUAUCUCUCUCAAAGAGAGGGGUACAGAACCCCUAAGUGAUCUUUCACCUAAGAAGAUAAGGAAAACCAGCGCCUUGGCCUCUAUGGGGAUCCUGACUAAAAAGUAAUCAGCCACAGCUGGAAAACAAAGAUUGACAACUGUCUGGGUGGUGCCUCUCUCCCCUGGCAAGGAAGAGUGAAUUCUAAGAGCCGUCACGGUAUUGUGGUGAUUGGAAACAAGCCUGAAAAUGCCAGAUGUGAGUCUGCACAGCUGGACAGAUUAAAAAAAAUGUGCACUUCAGUUUCUAUGGUGGUUGCCCCUGGGGUACCACGGUGUCUAUGUGUGACUAAGCAUAUGAACAGCAAAAGCCAUAAUGCGUAUUUAAAUAUAGAAACAUGUAUUUUGUAUCCUUUUUUAGGCCAAAGAAAGGACUAAAGCAGCAUAAAGGAAACUUGGCUUCACAAAAUGAUUUUUCUUAGAGUACAAAAAAAACCUAGGUCUGAAUAAAGCUGACAAAGGCAAGGAAAUUCUAGAUUAAAAACGCACUUUCAU